Molecule: long non-coding RNA, 2651 nt
Filed under: Equus asinus (donkey)
Lineage: Eukaryota; Metazoa; Chordata; Mammalia; Perissodactyla; Equidae
Description: lncRNA (ENSEASG00005033694.1)
Source: RNAcentral
GAUGUAGCUUUAUUACUGGGUUAAUGAUAGCAGCAAUGCCAGGACUGCUGAGGACUCCUGUGUGCCAGGAGGGCGCAGAGCAUUGCCCCUGCCCAUCCUGGUUUAAUCCUCACCUGAAUCCUAGGGGCAGGGACAUUUCUGUCAUGCCGUUCACAGACGAGGAAACGGGCUCAGAGGACACGAAGGGCUUUCUCCAGUCUCAACGCUAAAAUGGCAGGCCUGGGGAUUUGAAGCCUGUCUCUGGGUGAGAUCUGAGCCUUGCCUAUAGCACGAGGAUGGAAGAAAAAGUGGAGCUUUUCUUCCCACUUACUGGAGACGCUUUUGAGGUUGGAUUUUUGCCUUGGAUUUGGCCUUGACCCUCAGUAUGUAAAUCCGCAGAGGAAAGACUGGGCCUUCCUGACACUCCUGCUCUCUCAGGAUUUCCUUCUCAGGAUCGGAGCCCACAGGUCAGACGAGGACUUGAACUCUCAUCUACUGCUCUAGCUGCCAUAUCUUUUCCAACUGUUUCCCUUUCCUUUCGCCUAGUUGGUUAUUUACAGAAAUAACACAGCAUAGGAGAGGCUAAGAAUGAAGGAGAGCGAGCAAAUAAGAAUGAAUGCAAGAGAGAAUGAAAAGGGACAAACGAGAGUGAAGAAGAGACGAUUAAGGGAAGAGAGAGAGGGUGAAAGGAAAAGAAAAAGAGAACAAGAAAGAUCAGGCUGUGAAGUCACCCAGACGUGGUUUGAAUCGUUGCUUUUACUGGCUGUACCAUUUUGAGUAAAGCUCUCUAAUUCAGUUCCGCAUCGUAGAACAAGGGUGGUCCUGUUUAGAGGAUUGUCCUGAGGAUCAAAUAGAAUAUUGUCUAUGCCUUUCCUGCCACCCAAUGAGCGCUUAAUAAACCUCCCUCCUUCCUUCCUCCGCUCUCCUUCCUUCUUUCCUUCCUUCCUGCUUUCCUUCCUUUCUUCCUUCCUUCUUUCCUUCCUUUCUUCCUUCCCUCCUUCCCUUCCCCCUUUCUCCCCGACUCCCCUCAUCAAGGACCACCUAAACCCCUGGCACAAUUCAAGACAUCUCUACAAAUGUUGCCAGUUUAGUCCUUGAAACAACUCAUGAAUUACAUGGCAUUAUAUUCUCAUUUUACGAUGAGGCCUAGAGAGAGACAUUAUAAGCUAGGAUCAUCCAGCAGCUGACUGUCCCACCAGAAUUCCAAUGCAGAUCUGUCUUUCUCCACUCCUAACAAAAGGAAAACUAAGGUGGCCAUCUCAACUGAUGGGCGUUUAGAGUUUUCUUCUUUAGCUGCUCCACCGGAGGGCUGUUGAGAAAAUUACCCAAAUCAUGUUAAUGAGCAGUUGAGUGCCGGAGUUUCUCUGAGGCAAGGCGGUGAACAAAAUCUCUGGUUGGCAACCGUUAGCUGUGAUCAUUAUCUCAGCUGAUACCACCAAGGGGCUCUCGGCUCAAAUAAUUAACUCAACUGCCUCCUCUCAGGGGUGAAGUGGGGCUAAUAAAACUUAACCACCUAGCUUGUGGGAAAAUGAUUCUGUGCUCAGUGAGGAAGUGCUUUCAAGACCAUCUGGCGCCGAGUGGUGGAGUGGUGCUGUCGUAGAAGCUGCGAUGGUGUGUUAAUUCUCUCUCCCUCUUUCUACCCUCGUGAAACUGAGAUCCUUGAGGGUAGGACCUACGUCUGCCUUAUGUAUCCUGAACCUACCCGAGAUGAGAGAGACGGAGGAACGCCACAUCACUCAAGAAAUGAGUUCAGCUGGUCUCCCAGAGCAGAAGUGGAAAAGGCUGUGUGGUGGGGCAGAAGGGACAAGGAUGCAGCCCCUGGAGCUGACCGUGUGCUGCUACAGCCGAGGUCGCGGUUCAUCGCAGCAACAUGUGCCGUCGUUUUGCAGACGAGGAAACAGGACUCAGCCAGCUGAAGAAAUUUGCCUAUUGUCACUCAGGAAUGGUAGAGCCAGAAAUUGGCUUCCAAAUUUCAAGACCCAUGCUGCCCUUUCUACUAGACUGUCUUUAAACCAUCGCUGUGAGUACCUGUAGCCAGGCAGACUUUGGCCCUAGAGUUCUGGGCUGAAUCUGCUAGCUCACCUUCAGGUCAGGACGCCCUCUCUCACAGAGUGUGUCUGCCCAAUGAUGGUGAAUUCUAGAGUCUUCACUGGAGGUGGACAGGAGUGGGCCAGGGAGCUGACAUGGUCUCAUCCAUUUGUCCUUGCUGGAAGGGAGUUGAAGAGCUCCUUUCUUCCCUUUUCCUCCCCGAACCAAAUAAAUAGCACUCUCCCUCCCUCUGAGAAGCGUUCAUAGAUUCCUGUAAGGUAGAGAGGUGAGAGCCACUUAGGGGCAGGCAAUUGCCUUGGGAAGAUUCUGUGUAGCUCGUGUAUUUACAGUCACGCUAUGUGACCACUGGAAUCACUUCUCUGAACCUCAAUUUCCUUAUCUAUAAAACCAGCAGGGGGAGGGGUGGGAUAAUGCCUCCAGGAAAGUAAUAUAGCCAGAGGGCAAGAGCAUGGGCUCUGAAGAUGGAUUACCAGUGUCCAAAUCUUGCUUCUGCUGGCUCUGAGACCUUGGCCAGUUUACUUAACCUCAUUGUGCCUCAGUUUCCUUUAUUGUAAAAGGGGGAUGAAAAUGAUAUUACUUACACACUGGGGCUGCUGUGAGGAUUACAUAAUUAAUACAUAUAA